This 376-nucleotide unclassified non-coding RNA is filed under the name uncultured bacterium. RNAcentral describes it as "contains 16S-23S intergenic spacer region". The record is from RNAcentral.
UCCGAGUUGACCCCGGCAGUCUCCCAUGAGUCCCCACCAUAACGUGCUGGCAACAUGGAACGAGGGUUGCGCUCGUUGCGGGACUUAACCCAACAUCUCACGACACGAGCUGACGACAACCAUGCACCACCUGUACGCGGCCCAAAAGGACCCGACAUCUCUGCCGGUUUUCCGCGUAUGUCAAGCCUUGGUAAGGUUCUUCGCGUUGCGUCGAAUUAAACCACACGCUCCGCUGCUUGUGCGGGGCCCCGUCAAUUCCUUUGAGUUUUAGUCUUGCGACCGUACUCCCCAGGCGGGCUACUUAAUGCGUUAGCUUCGGCACAGGAGGGGUCAAUACCCCGGACACCUAGUGCCCAUCGUUUACAGCGUGGACUAC